This 493-nucleotide ribosomal RNA is filed under the name uncultured bacterium. RNAcentral's name for it is "partial 16S ribosomal RNA". It matches the Rfam family "Bacterial small subunit ribosomal RNA", at positions 30 to 523 of the family's 1533-position model. The record is from RNAcentral.
AUUGAACGCUGGCGGCAUGCCUUACACAUGCAAGUCGAACGGUAACAGGUUAAGCUGACGAGUGGCGAACGGGUGAGUAAUAUAUCGGAACGUGCCCAGUCGUGGGGGAUAACGUAGCGAAAGCUACGCUAAUACCGCAUACGAUCUACGGAUGAAAGCGGGGGAUCGCAAGACCUCGCGCGAUUGGAGCGGCCGAUAUCAGAUUAGGUCGUUGGUGAGGUAAAAGCUCACCAAGCCUGCGAUCUGUAGCUGGUCUGAGAGGACGACCAGCCACACUGGAACUGAGACACGGUCCAGACUCCUACGGGAGGCAGCAGUGGGGAAUUUUGGACAAUGGACGCAAGUCUGAUCCAGCAAUGCCGCGUGCAAGACGAAGGCCUUCGGGUUGUAAACUGCUUUUGUACGGAACGAAACGGUGAGCUCUAAUACAGUUUGCUAAUGACGGUACCGUAAGAAUAAGCACCGGCUAACUACGUGCCAGCAGCCGCCGUAA